This 892-nucleotide ribosomal RNA is filed under the name Escherichia coli. RNAcentral describes it as "partial 23S ribosomal RNA". It matches the Rfam family "Bacterial large subunit ribosomal RNA", at positions 1 to 934 of the family's 2925-position model. The record is from RNAcentral. Lineage: Bacteria; Pseudomonadati; Pseudomonadota; Gammaproteobacteria; Enterobacterales; Enterobacteriaceae.
GGUUAAGCGACUAAGCGUACACGGUGGAUGCCCUGGCAGUCAGAGGCGAUGAAGGACGUGCUAAUCUGCGAUAAGCGUCGGUAAGGUGAUAUGAACCGUUAUAACCGGCGAUUUCCGAAUGGGGAAACCCAGUGUGUUUCGACACACUAUCAUUAACUGAAUCCAUAGGUUAAUGAGGCGAACCGGGGGAACUGAAACAUCUAAGUACCCCGAGGAAAAGAAAUCAACCGAGAUUCCCCCAGUAGCGGCGAGCGAACGGGGAGCAGCCCAGAGCCUGAAUCAGUGUGUGUGUUAGUGGAAGCGUCUGGAAAGGCGCGCGAUACAGGGUGACAGCCCCGUACACAAAAAUGCACAUGCUGUGAGCUCGAUGAGUAGGGCGGGACACGUGGUAUCCUGUCUGAAUAUGGGGGGGCCAUCCUCCAAGGCUAAAUACUCCUGACUGACCGAUAGUGAACCAGUACCGUGAGGGAAAGGCGAAAAGAACCCCGGCGAGGGGAGUGAAAAAGAACCUGAAACCGUGUACGUACAAGCAGUGGGAGCACGCUUAGGCGUGUGACUGCGUACCUUUUGUAUAAUGGGUCAGCGACUUAUAUUCUGUAGCAAGGUUAACCGAAUAGGGGAGCCGAAGGGAAACCGAGUCUUAACUGGGCGUUAAGUUGCAGGGUAUAGACCCGAAACCCGGUGAUCUAGCCAUGGGCAGGUUGAAGGUUGGGUAACACUAACUGGAGGACCGAACCGACUAAUGUUGAAAAAUUAGCGGAUGACUUGUGGCUGGGGGUGAAAGGCCAAUCAAACCGGGAGAUAGCUGGUUCUCCCCGAAAGCUAUUUAGGUAGCGCCUCGUGAAUUCAUCUCCGGGGGUAGAGCACUGUUUCGGCAAGGGGGUCAUCCCGA